RNAcentral lists this ribosomal RNA (390 nucleotides) under uncultured bacterium. RNAcentral describes it as "bacterial SSU rRNA". It matches the Rfam family "Bacterial small subunit ribosomal RNA", at positions 42 to 458 of the family's 1533-position model. The record is from RNAcentral.
UCAGGCCUAACACAUGCAAGUCGUACGGGAAUUUUUAAUUCAAGUGGCAGACGGGUGAGUAACACGUAAGAAUUUGCCUUUAGGAGGGGGACAACAACUGGAAACGGUUGCUAAUACCCCAUAUGCUUUCGAGUGAAAUGGAUUUUUCCGCCUAAAGAGAAGCUUGCGGCUGAUUAGCUUGUUGGUGAGGUAAUGGCUCACCAAGGCGACGAUCAGUAUCUGGUUUGAGAGGAUGAUCAGACACACUGGAACUGAGACACGGUCCAGACUCCUACGGGAGGCAGCAGUGGGGAAUUUUCCGCAAUGGGCGAAAGCCUGACGGAGCAAUCUCGCGUGAGGGAUGAAAGCCUAUGGGUCGUAAACCUCUUUUUCAGGGAGGAACAAAAUGAC